Molecule: non-coding RNA, 743 nt
Organism: Arachis ipaensis
Lineage: Eukaryota; Viridiplantae; Streptophyta; Magnoliopsida; Fabales; Fabaceae
Source: RefSeq, a predicted model, not a curated record
AUCAUUUUCUUUUUUAUGGCCUAUUUCUUACACCUCACUUUCAUCUCUUUAGUUUCCCAUUUCUGGUUUUAUAUGUAGUUAUUAAGUGUUAAAUAUUCAGUUUGUUGCAACAAGUUUAAGAGAACCUUAUCUAUCAAGCUUCUUCUUCUAAUACAAGUUUAAGAGGAAAAUUAAACAGCAUGUGCUCUUUCUCUUCACAACAAACCCCUCUCUUUUUGACACUUCCAUGGCCAUCCAAGAAACUCAACAAGCACAUAAAGUUGAGCCUCCUCAACAGAAGGAGAGCACAACAAUUGAAAGAAGCAAGAGAAAGGAAAAGGAUGAAUAUUGAGAUGAAGAACUUGAAAUUGUACAUGAAGAACCAAAGCAUCAUAGAAGAGAAUGAGAAGUUGAGGAAACAAGCCAUGAUUCUGCAUAAGGAGAACCAAGAACUCUUCUCUCAGCUCCAAAAGAAGCUCUCAGAACAAAAACAAUUAGCAACAAAUCAAAAACAAUACAUAUAACUAGCUAUAGCUCUUAGCUCAUAUAAUAUAUACGGUUUAUUUUAGUGUGGCCUAAGAGGUGAAGAAAAGAUUUAAGGGUCUAUAUGUAUGUUUUAUAUUGAUCCUUUUUCUCAUAUGUUUUAGCCACUUAGCCUUGAAUCUUUAACUUCCUUCUUUUUCUAUUUGCUUAUUUAGUUUGAGGUGGGAGAUAUAUGUCAAUUUCUCAAUUAAUUAAUUCUCUAGUUCAACAAGUUUAGAGAG